AAGUCGUAACAAGGUACCCUUCCACCCAUCGGGAGCCUUGCAAAUCAGUCUGCUGGAGUUGACCUCCUCCAGGCGAGACUCGCCUGUUGCUGGAAAUCCCCCCGGGGAUGAUCAGCAGCCGUCCUUCCGGGGACGGUCCACAGAUCAAUUGCGAGCCGUUCCUGCCCGGGGUCUCAUCCCCCCGGGCAAGAAUUAAGAUAUGACCGACUCUCCCGGGGUACCGCGCCCGGGAGUACACUGGUUCCGUAGGUGAACCUGCGGAAGGAUCAUUAUCGAGUUCGGGUCCCUAGGGGCCCAACCUCCAACCCCAUGUUUAUUUACUUUGUUGCUUUGGCGGGUCGCGGUCCCCGUGGCCCCGCCGGCUCCGGCUGGCGAGCACCCGUCAGAGACCACCCAAAAAUCAUUCUUAACUAGUCAUGUCUGNNAAUAAAUUUAAUAGCAAAAAACUUUCAACAACGGAUCUCUUGGUUCUGGCAUCGAUGAAGAACGCAGCGAAAUGCGAUAAGUAAUGUGAAUUGCAGAAUUCAGUGAAUCAUCGAAUCUUUGAACGCACAUUGCGCCCCCUGGUAUUCCGGGGGGCAUGCCUGUUCGAGCGUCAUUACACCACUCAAGCCCAGCUUGGUAUUGGGAAUCUUGCUCUCCUUUCGGGGAGCAAUUCCCAAAAAUUAGCGGCGGUGCAGCCGGACUUCCCAGCGCAGUGACUUACAUCUCGCUACGGAACUCGACUGCCCGGCCCGGAUAACCCUUUUUUCUCCCCGGAGGAAAUAAUUUUUCAAUGGUUGACCUCGGAUCAGGUAGGGAUACCCGCUGAACUUAAGCAUAUCAAUAAGCGGAGGAAAAGAAACCAACAGGGAUUGCCUCAGCAACGGCGAGUGAAGCGGCAACAGCUCAAAUUUGAAAUCUGGCCUUGCGGUCCGAGUUGUAAUUUGUAGAGGAUGCUUCGGGUGCGGUACCGUUCUAAGUCCCUUGGAACAGGGCGUCAUAGAGGGUGAGAAUCCCGUACGUGACCGGUGGCCAAGUCCAUGUGAAGCUCCUUCGACGAGUCGAGUUGUUUGGGAAUGCAGCUCAAAAUGGGUGGUAAAUUUCAUCUAAAGCUAAAUACCGGCCAGAGACCGAUAGCGCACAAGUAGAGUGAUCGAAAGAUGAAAAGCACUUUGGAAAGAGAGUUAAACAGUACGUGAAAUUGUUGAAAGGGAAGCGCUUGCAGCCAGACUCGCCCGGGGGUGAUCAACCGUCUCUCGGGGCGGUGCACUCUCCCCCGGUCGGGCCAGCAUCGGUUUGGGCGGCCGGAUAAAGGCCCCGGGAAUGUGACUCCCUUCGGGGUGUGUUAUAGCCCGGGGUGCAAUGCGGCCAGCCUGGAUCGAGGACCGCGCUUUUGCUAGGAUGCUGGCGUAAUGGCUGCCAGCGACC
Molecule: ribosomal RNA, 1410 nt
Filed under: uncultured fungus
Lineage: Eukaryota; Fungi
Description: eukaryotic LSU rRNA
Rfam family: Eukaryotic large subunit ribosomal RNA (bases 781-1410)
Source: RNAcentral